UACAGAGGUCCCAAGCGUUGUUCGGAUUCAUUGGGCGUAAAGGGUGCGUAGGUGGCGUCGUAAGUCGGGUGUGAAAUCUCGGGGCUUAACUCCGAAACUGCAUUCGAUACUGCGGUGCUUGAGGACUGGAGAGGAGACUGGAAUUUACGGUGUAGCAGUGAAAUGCGUAGAGAUCGUAAGGAAGGCCAGUGGCGAAGGCGAGUUCCUGGACGGUUACUGACGCUGAGGCACGAAGGCCAGGGGAGCAAACGGG
RNAcentral lists this ribosomal RNA (253 nucleotides) under uncultured bacterium. Its description in RNAcentral is "partial 16S ribosomal RNA". It matches the Rfam family "Bacterial small subunit ribosomal RNA", at positions 524 to 776 of the family's 1533-position model. The record is from RNAcentral.